CCAGUUUGAUCAUGGCUCAGAACAAACGCUGGCGGCGUGCCUAACACAUGCAAGUCGUACGAGAAAGUCGGCUUCGGCNNNUGAGUACAGUGGCGCACGGGUGAGUAGCGCGUGGGUAAUCUGCCCCUCGGUCAGGAAUAACCCGCCGAAAGGCGGGCUAAUACCCGAUAACACUGACGCUCUGCGGAGUGUCUUUCAAAGAAGGCCUCUGUUUACAAGCUUUCGCCGGAGGAUGAGCCCGCGUACCAUUAGCUAGUUGGCAGGGUAAUGGCCUACCAAGGCAACGAUGGUUAGCUGGUCUGAGAGGAUGGCCAGCCACACUGGAACUGAGACACGGUCCAGACUCCUACGGGAGGCAGCAGUGAGGAAUCUUGCGCAAUGGGGGAAACCCUGACGCAGCAACGCCGCGUGAGUGAGGAAGGCUUUCGGGUCGUAAAGCUCUGUCAGAUGGGAAGAAAUGGAUGGAAGCCAAUACCUUUCAUUCUUGACGGUACCAUCAGAGGAAGCACCGGCUAACUCCGUGCCAGCAGCCGCGGUAAUACGGGGGGUGCAAGCGUUGUUCGGAAUCAUUGGGCGUAAAGCGCGCGCAGGCGGCUUGGUAAGUCAGAUGUGAAAUCCCUGGGCUUAACCCAGGAAGUGCAUUUGAUACUGCCUCGCUAGAGUACGGGAGAGGAAAGUGGAAUUCCUGGUGUAGAGGUGAAAUUCGUAGAUAUCAGGAGGAACACCGGUGG
RNAcentral lists this ribosomal RNA (731 nucleotides) under uncultured bacterium. Its description in RNAcentral is "bacterial SSU rRNA". It matches the Rfam family "Bacterial small subunit ribosomal RNA", at positions 9 to 715 of the family's 1533-position model. The record is from RNAcentral.